AGUCCAUGGUGUGGGCACUUCUUUAGCAUUUCUUAAAUCAUUCCUACGCCUCGUAUAUUGAUUCACCUUUAUAUUGUUUAAAUUUGACGAUUUCUUGCGUGAGCU
Non-coding RNA from Gossypium arboreum, 105 nucleotides. Lineage: Eukaryota; Viridiplantae; Streptophyta; Magnoliopsida; Malvales; Malvaceae. The record is from Rfam.